AAAGGAUCAUGUGACACUGAAGUCUGGAGUAAGGAUGCCAUCAAAGGAAUUAAUUACAUUUUAAGACACAUUAAAACAGACAUUUUACAUUAUAAUAUUUCAAAAAAAAAUUUUUUUUUCAUCAAUGCUUUUGUUGUUAAAGCAGAGGCUGAACAGACCCCAGAACCUGUGGAUGCAACACUGGAAGUUGGGGCAGCAACUACCAUUGUAGAGGCAGUAGCAGCUGAUGCUGAGGAACCUACUGCACCUGUUGUUGAGGAUGUUGCUGCUGAGGCUGCUUCUCCCAGUGCCGAGACAACCGGUGCGGCGUCUUCUGCUGAGGAAGCAGUCUGAAUCCCCAGCAGUCUAGAUAUGUGAUUCUUCCCAACCCACCUCGGAACGCUGCAUUAACUUUUAGAGACUCCCAUUUGUGUGCUCCUUUUAACUGAUUGACUGUGUCCUCUGCACAAAAAAGAAGUGUCCCUUCUGAACUCCACAGGGUGCUAAUCCCACAGUUGAGGAGGAGAAGAGGUUAAGGAAGUCCAAAAAUCAGUGGCAACACUUUUAAAUUCCAAACGGCGGUUUUAUCAUCCCAGUCUGUGUUUUGAUGCUUGAAUAUCUAAUGUAAAUAUGAUUUUUUCUUUUUUUUCUUUUACAUCUCCUCCUUCACAUCUAGUGGAUAUGCCUGCUGUAAUACUUGUUGCUGUGUCCCUGCAGUAUAACAUAUUGUGUCUCAUAGGUGUGCAGGGAGACAUUUUUCUUAAAUAGCUUAAUAUUGACAGUGACUUUUUACAAUAACUGUAAUUUUAACUUGAAAAAGGAAGUUUAUCGAGACAAAUUUUAAAUGAUGGCUUGACAAAACCUUGUUGUGUAGAACUUGACAAAGUUUAAUUUCAGCCUUAUUGACAGAAACAAACAUAGAUCUGUUUGAAAUGUCACAUAUAAACCAUCUUUAGCCGCUUUAGGUAAAUAACUAGAAGAAAAACAAAUUGCAAUAAACAGAUAAAUGAUAUAAAAUAAAUGAAUAGUCAUAAAAUAAAUUAAAAUAAUAUGAUAAUGGACUGUUUUGUACAGCUAAAAUAACUAGAAAUGGCUGACACCGGAAGCAUAAUUGGUUAAAAACAUGACAUGAAUAUUUCCUUUAUAUAUAAUUCUUCUCAUAGGGUAGAAGAACACUUGAUUGACUUUAAGGUGGCCGAGAUUUCGAUUCUGAAUUUUGCCCAAUCCUGCUCAAAUGUGUCUUACAUGUUUUUGGAGGAGCCUUUCUGCACAUGCAUUCCAAAAUCACUGUGGCCUAAUAAGCAACUCUUUCAUCAAAGGAGAUUACUUUUUUAUGAUUUGCCAUAGUUUUUCUACCUGUGAAUUUCCUCUCUCAGUUAUUGGGAUGGAGGACAUCCACUGUGCCUUUUACUUUUUUAUUAUUAUCUUAAAUAUCUCUUAAAAUUUGAACUAUCACGGAAACAUAAUGCCAGUGUUACUUAAAUGUCAUGGCACUGGAGACAUUUGCUCUUAAUCUUGAUGCUGUUUUUCACUGUUGAUGCUGUUUUCUGAGGCUCAACCAACUAAGAACUGAAGUUGAUUGCAGUUUUCAAAACUGACAAAAUAUUUGUAUUCCUUAAAUAAAGUUUUUAAAAUAUGAUUUUUGAGUCUGAAUUCAGUGCUGUAUUCAUUGCAAUUUUUGAUUCCUUUACGUCAUGAACUGUAAAUGAGAUAUAUAAUCAAAUCAUCAAUAUUUCUGUAUAUUGUGUACACUUGUAGAAUAGCACCAUAUUGUGUAUGAUCCUUUGCUUGGUUUUGAUCAUCCGCUUUAAAUGUUUCUACAUUCCUGUAAAUACAGUUAAAACACACUUCCUUGUUUAUGUUGGCAAAUUAGCUCUUAAAAUCCAUUUUUGUAAUGACUAAGCAUCUCUUGCAGUUAAUCUGAGUAAAUCUCACUAAUGUGUGUUGAUUGUUUCAUCACUAAUCUAAGUGGUUUAUGCCACUUAUGGGGGCUUAAGGAGAUUUCCCAAUGGCACCACCUUCAAAUCUAGCUUUAACCCUUGUGUGGUGUUCAUAUUUUUGUUAUUCAGACAGUGUUCGUGGGUCUGGUGGACCCACUGCAUUUCUGGGUUUUCAGUUCAACACAAUCAAAAAUGUUAUGUUAAAAUACUCAACAGAUGUUUACUUCAUCCCAAUUACAAGCAAUAUAAACAGCAUAUUAAUAUUUGCCUUUUACCUUUGUUAGAUCACAUUUAUGAAUUAAAGUUCUACAAACUUGUGCAGGAAAAGCAGGGGCAGAAACACAAAACUCACACUUACACUUUU
Molecule: long non-coding RNA, 2283 nt
Organism: Cyprinus carpio carpio
Lineage: Eukaryota; Metazoa; Chordata; Actinopteri; Cypriniformes; Cyprinidae
Source: Ensembl